RNAcentral lists this transfer RNA (81 nucleotides) under Actinobacteria bacterium RBG_13_63_9. Its description in RNAcentral is "tRNA-Leu". It matches the Rfam family "tRNA". Rfam says of the family: Transfer RNA (tRNA) molecules are approximately 80 nucleotides in length. Their secondary structure includes four short double-helical elements and three loops (D, anti-codon, and T loops). Further hydrogen bonds mediate the characteristic L-shaped molecular structure. tRNAs have two regions of fundamental functional importance: the anti-codon, which is responsible for specific mRNA codon recognition, and the 3' end, to which the tRNAs corresponding amino acid is attached (by aminoacyl-tRNA synthetases). tRNAs cope with the degeneracy of the genetic code in two manners: having more than one tRNA (with a specific anti-codon) for a particular amino acid; and 'wobble' base-pairing, i.e. permitting non-standard base-pairing at the 3rd anti-codon position. The record is from RNAcentral. RNAcentral also lists the same sequence under 1 other name. Lineage: Bacteria; Bacillati; Actinomycetota.
GCGGGUGUGGCGGAAUGGCAGACGCGCAUGAUUUAGGAUCAUGUGUCUUAUGACGUGGAGGUUCGAGUCCUCUCACCCGCA